CCCACUGCAAAUACCUCCACCCCUCAUCUCCCCACACCCCCGACGAUCCUGGGAAAUAUUUAAGGUCUGGGGGAAAAGUAUCUAAGUGGCAUUCUGAGUUCCAAGUGAAAGGGUCAAGGACCCAGCAACCAGAGCUAUACCUGGGAGAAGAAUGAGAGGGACAAGGUCUCUGGUAGUCACUGCUGAUCCCAAAAAGGGUGGAGCCAGAGGAACAUGAACAGCUGGGUAACCAGGAGACAUCUGGGCCACAGGCUCCCGAAGGUUCCGCAGAGAAGGGGUUGGGGCAUGGAGUACAGUCCAGAAACAGUAGAAAAUUAGAGAGUGCUGGCAGGUGGCCUCUGGUUCUAAGGCAGUCAUCAAACUCCAGCAGGCAAGGAAGAAGUGGUAUAGAAGGAAAAUGGACAGAAGCAAGUAGCCCAAAGUAUAUAAGGCCGGUUAACUCCACAGACCCUUCCAUGUUGCUCUAUUCCACCAUCACUUCCAGCAAGUGAGACUGAAGCCUACCCCUGCAUCCACACCCCAGAGCACUAAGAGGAAGGAAAGAGUGGAGGGACACGUGAUGGUGCCCAGGGACUCCGAAUGUAGGUGACAAGGAAGAAAAGUGCUAAUUAGUUCCUAUGGGCUUCUAGACACAGGGUUUGGAGAAAGAACGGGGCCAUGGCUCUUGAGGAGACCCUCAUACCUCCUUCACCCCCUAAGCAUACUUAUCAGUGCCCAUCUCUGCUGUGGCAACCUGGACAUGACCCAUGCAACUCACAGUCCUGACCUCCAGUGGCACAUGUAUCCCCCAGGAGGGGGCAUGGAGGGAGCAGAGUGGGUGGCCUUUGUAGAUUGACUAGCAUGCUUGCAGGAUUGUUGGUUCCCCUCCCAAUCUCACAGUGGGUUGGUUCUGUGCCCAUUUGUCUCACAAUGCUUCUAACUCUGAUCUUUCUGAUCACAAACCACACAACUUGUAUACAGAGCACCAAAAUUAGAUAGGAAUGGAAGGGAUGUCCAAAAGUGCCCAGUGAUGCCAAGUGUCAGUGGUGGUGCACGCCUUUAUUCCCGGCACUUAUGAGGCAAAGGCAGGCAGAUCUCUGUGAGUUCAAGGCUAGCCCGGUCUAUAAAGCAGGUUUCAGGACAGCCAGGGCUGUUAUACAGAAAAACCCUAUCUGGAAAAACUUAAAAAAAAAAAAAAAAAGCCAGGCGGUGGUGUCACAUGCCUUUGGUCCCAGCACUCAUGAGGCAGAGGCAGGUGGAUCUCUGUGAGUUCGAGAUCAGCCUGGUCUACAAGAACAAGUUCCAGGACAGCCUCAAAAGCCACA
This 1304-nucleotide long non-coding RNA is filed under the name Cricetulus griseus (Chinese hamster). Its description in RNAcentral is "lncRNA (ENSCGRG00015038042.1)". The record is from RNAcentral. Lineage: Eukaryota; Metazoa; Chordata; Mammalia; Rodentia; Cricetidae.